RNAcentral lists this ribosomal RNA (497 nucleotides) under uncultured bacterium. Its description in RNAcentral is "partial 16S ribosomal RNA". It matches the Rfam family "Bacterial small subunit ribosomal RNA", at positions 28 to 507 of the family's 1533-position model. The record is from RNAcentral.
GAUGAACGCUGGCGGCGUGCCUAAUACAUGCAAGUCGAGCGAACGGACGAGAAGCUUGCUUCUCUGAUGUUAGCGGCGGACGGGUGAGUAACACGUGGAUAACCUACCUAUAAGACUGGGAUAACUUCGGGAAACCGGAGCUAAUACCGGAUAAUAUUUUGAACCGCAUGGUUCAAAAGUGAAAGACGGUCUUGCUGUCACUUAUAGAUGGAUCCGCGCUGCAUUAGCUAGUUGGUAAGGUAACGGCUUACCAAGGCAACGAUGCAUAUCCGACCUGAGAGGGUGAUCGGCCACACUGGAACUGAGACACGGUCCAGACUCCUACGGGAGGCAGCAGUAGGGAAUCUUCCGCAAUGGGCGAAAGCAUGACGGAGCAACGCCGCGUGAGUGAUGAAGGUCUUCGGAUCGUAAAACUCUGUUAUUAGGGAAGAACAUAUGUGUAAGUAACUGUGCACAUCUUGACGGUACCUAAUCAGAAAGCCACGGCUAACUACGUG